GCCCAGCUGGCUCAUUGGGUAUAGCACAUGACUCUUGAUUUGGGGUUGUGAGUUCAAGCCCCAUGCUGGGCA
This 72-nucleotide transfer RNA is filed under the name Canis lupus familiaris (dog). It matches the Rfam family "tRNA". Rfam says of the family: Transfer RNA (tRNA) molecules are approximately 80 nucleotides in length. RNAcentral also lists the same sequence under 1 other name. Lineage: Eukaryota; Metazoa; Chordata; Mammalia; Carnivora; Canidae. The record is from Rfam by way of RNAcentral.